AGAGUUUGAUCCUGGUUCAGGACGAACGCUGGCGGCGUGCCUAACACAUGCAAGUCGAGCGGAGACGGUGUUUGACACUGAGUUUUUUCGGAAGUAGCGUAAGAGAAGUUGCAAACCGGUCGGGAGUCUUGACUUCGAGGGAUGCAUUGCAACCUUAAAAGAGGGAAGCGAUGGGUUCUGAGGGAAAAGGGAGCGACGGGAGGCAACGAAGUGAAAAGAGAAGAUUGAGUGUCAAGCACUAUCUUAGCGGCGGACGGGUGAGUAACGCGUGAGCAACCUGCCUUACACAGGGGAAUAGCCUCGGGAAACUGGGAUUAAUGCCCCAUGACGUAUUCAUGUCGCAUGGUGUGGAUACCAAAGUGAAAGCGGUGUAAGAUGGACUCGCGUCUGAUUAGCUGGUUGGUGGGGUAACGGCCUACCAAGGCGACGAUCAGUAGCCGGCCUGAGAGGGUGAACGGCCACACUGGAACUGAGACACGGUCCAGACUCCUACGGGAGGCAGCAGUGGGGAAUAUUGCACAAUGGGGGGAACCCUGAUGCAGCGACGCCGCGUGAGCGAAGAAGGUUUUCGGAUCGUAAAGCUCUGUCCUUGGAGAAGAUGAUGACGGUAUCCAAGGAGGAAGCCCCGGCUAACUACGUGCCAGCAGCCGCGGUAAUACGUAGGGGGCGAGCGUUGUCCGGAAUUACUGGGCGUAAAGGGUACGCAGGCGGUUACAUAAGUCAGGUGUAAAAGGCAUUGGCUCAACCAAUGUAAGCAUUUGAAACUGUGGGACUUGAGUAUAGGAGAGGUAAGUGGAAUUCCUAGUGUAGCGGUGAAAUGCGUAGAUAUUAGGAGGAACACCAGUGGCGAAGGCGACUUACUGGACUAUAACUGACGCUGAGGUACGAAAGCGUGGGGAGCAAACAGGAUUAGAUACCCUGGUAGUCCACGCUGUAAACGAUGAGUGCUAGGUGUCGGCAAGAGAUUGUCGGUGCCGGAGUUAACGCAAUAAGCACUCCGCCUGGGGAGUACGGUCGCAAGACUGAAACUCAAAGGAAUUGACGGGGACCCGCACAAGCAGCGGAGCAUGUGGUUUAAUUCGAAGCAACGCGAAGAACCUUACCAAGGCUUGACAUCCCCUUGAAAGGCGUAGAGAUACGUUCCCUUUUCGGAGCAGGGGAGACAGGUGGUGCAUGGUUGUCGUCAGCUCGUGUCGUGAGAUGUUGGGUUAAGUCCCGCAACGAGCGCAACCCCUAUUAUUAGUUGCCAGCACUACGGGUGGGCACUCUAAUGAGACUGCCGGUGACAAACCGGAGGAAGGUGGGGGUGACGUCAAAUCAUCAUGCCCCUUAUGUCUUGGGCUACACACGUGCUACAAUGGUCGGUACAACGGGGUGCGAAGGAGCGAUCCGGAGCGAAUCCCAAGAAGCCGAUCUCAGUUCGGAUUGCAGGCUGCAACUCGCCUGCAUGAAGUUGGAGUUGCUAGUAAUCGCGAAUCAGAACGUCGCGGUGAAUGCGUUCCCGGGUCUUGUACACACCGCCCGUCACACCAUGGAAGUUGGUAAUACCCGAAGCCGCCGAGCUAACCUUAGGGGGCAGGCG
This 1582-nucleotide ribosomal RNA is filed under the name uncultured Dethiosulfatibacter sp. Its description in RNAcentral is "bacterial SSU rRNA". It matches the Rfam family "Bacterial small subunit ribosomal RNA". Lineage: Bacteria; Bacillati; Bacillota; Tissierellia. The record is from RNAcentral.